Molecule: long non-coding RNA, 427 nt
Organism: Eucalyptus grandis
Lineage: Eukaryota; Viridiplantae; Streptophyta; Magnoliopsida; Myrtales; Myrtaceae
Exons: 4
Source: RefSeq, a predicted model, not a curated record
GACGUCAGCCCGUCGGCGCCUGCGCCGAUGGCGGUGGGGCACAAUGCGAUCGUGAUGUAACUGUUCGACCGGAACGGCGUGUGCUUGUUCUACCGAGAGUAAAACCGGCCCCUCCGAACCUUAAAUCCCCAGCUGGACCACAAGCUCAUGUUAGGCCUCCCCUUCUCCCUCAAGUCACUUACCGCUAAGAUGGAUCUGACCAGUGACUCAGUUGAGCUCAAGUAACUCAUGAGUAGGAGGAAUUUCUUGUCCCACGAGCUUGAAGUUGCAAAACCCUUUGCACUGCCAGGUGCGGAGUAUGCAGGAGAACCGGACGUUUCCACACUAACACAUACAAGCUUAGUUUCAUGGAAGGUCCUUCUGGUAUAAAGAUAAUCUUGGUUACACAUCCUUGGACUGGUGAUCUACGGGAAGCUCUGAAGUACAU